RNAcentral lists this ribosomal RNA (678 nucleotides) under uncultured Bacillota bacterium. RNAcentral's name for it is "bacterial SSU rRNA". It matches the Rfam family "Bacterial small subunit ribosomal RNA", at positions 554 to 1231 of the family's 1533-position model. Lineage: Bacteria; Bacillati; Bacillota. The record is from RNAcentral.
UUGGGCGUAAAGGGUGCGUAGGCGGUUUUGAAAGUCAGAAGUUAAAGCCCUCGGCUCAACCGAGGUAAGCUUUUGAAACUUCAAGACUUGAGUACAGGAGGGGAGAGUAGAAUUCCUAGUGUAGCGGUGAGAUGCGUAGAUAUUAGGAGGAAUACCAGUGGCGAAGGCGACUCUCUGGACUGUAACUGACGCUGAGGCACGAAAGCAUGGGGAGCAAACAGGAUUAGAUACCCUGGUAGUCCAUGCCGUAAACGAUGAGUGCUAGGUGUUGGUGCCGACAGGCAUCAGUGCCGCAGUUAACACAUUAAGCACUCCGCCUGGGGAGUACGGUCGCAAGACUGAAACUCAAAGGAAUUGACGGGGGCCCGCACAAGCAGCGGAGCAUGUGGUUUAAUUCGACGCAACGCGAAGAACCUUACCAAGGCUUGACAUCCCUCGGACCGUUCUAGAGAUAGAACUUUCCCUUCGGGGACUGAGGAGACAGGUGGUGCAUGGUUGUCGUCAGCUCGUGUCGUGAGAUGUUGGGUUAAGUCCCGCAACGAGCGCAACCCUUAUCUUUAGUUGCCAGCAGGUUAAGCUGGGCACUCUAGAGAGACUGCCGGUGACAAACCGGAGGAAGGUGGGGAUGACGUCAAAUCAUCAUGCCCCUUAUGCCUUGGGCUACACACGUGCUACAAU